GCGCCCGUAGCUCAGCUGGAUAGAGUGCCAGACUUCGAAUCUGGAUGUCGGGAGUUCGAGUCUCUCCGGGCGCGCCA
This 77-nucleotide transfer RNA is filed under the name Alphaproteobacteria bacterium. RNAcentral describes it as "tRNA-Arg". It matches the Rfam family "tRNA". From Rfam's summary of the family: Transfer RNA (tRNA) molecules are approximately 80 nucleotides in length. Their secondary structure includes four short double-helical elements and three loops (D, anti-codon, and T loops). RNAcentral also lists the same sequence under 1 other name. The record is from RNAcentral. Lineage: Bacteria; Pseudomonadati; Pseudomonadota; Alphaproteobacteria.